CCUACGGGAGGCAGCAGUGGGGAAUAUUGGUCAAUGGGCGCAAGCCUGACCCAGCCACGCCGCGUGAAGGAAGAAGGCCUUCGGGUUGUAAACUUCUUUUGUACGAGGGCAAAAGUAGUUACGCGUAUCCGUCUGAAAGUACCGUACGAAUAAGGAUCGGCUAACUCCGUGCCAGCAGCCGCGGUAAUACGGAGGAUUCAAGCGUUAUCCGGAUUUAUUGGGUUUAAAGGGUGCGUAGGCGGUCGGUUAAGUUAGGGGUGAAAUCCCGAGGCUCAACUGCGGAAUUGCCGUUGAUACUGUUCGGCUGGAGAGCAGUUGCGGUAGGCGGAAUGUGUGGUGUAGCGGUGAAAUGCUUAGAGAUCAUACAGAACACCGAUUGCGAAGGCAGCUUACCAAGCUGCUUCUGACGUUGAGGCACGAAAGCGUGGGUAGCAAACAGGAUUAGAUACCCCAGUAGUC
This 459-nucleotide ribosomal RNA is filed under the name uncultured bacterium. Its description in RNAcentral is "partial 16S ribosomal RNA". It matches the Rfam family "Bacterial small subunit ribosomal RNA", at positions 338 to 795 of the family's 1533-position model. The record is from RNAcentral.